UAUGAAUUAAAUAGAUUUACAGAUAUCUAUAGAACGUUUCAUUCUAAAACAAAAAUGAAUACUUUCCUCUCAGCAUCUUAUGGUACCUUCUCCAAACUUGACCAUAUAAUCGAUCACAAAAUAGACCUCAACAGGUACAAGAAGAUACAAAUAAUCCCAUACAUCCUAUCAGAUCACCAUGGACUAAGGCUGGUCUUCAAUAACAACAAAAAUGAUAGAAAGCCCACAUACACAUGGAAGCUGAACAAUGCUCUACUCAAUAACUUGGUCAAGGAAGAAAUAAAGAAAUUAAAGACUUUUUAGAAUUUAAUGAAAAUGAAGGCAUAAUAUACUCAAACUUAAUGGGAUACAACGAAACAGUGCUAAGAAGAAAACUCGUAGCUCUGAGUGCCUCCAAAACAUAACUGGAGAGAGCAUACACUAGCGGCUUGUCAGCCCGCCAGAAAGCUCUAGAACAAAAAGAAGCAAA
RNAcentral lists this long non-coding RNA (469 nucleotides) under Rattus norvegicus (Norway rat). RNAcentral describes it as "long non-coding RNA NONRATT002558". The record is from RNAcentral. Lineage: Eukaryota; Metazoa; Chordata; Mammalia; Rodentia; Muridae.